UUGCUUUGGUGGCACAUAUCCUAAAAUUAGAAUGACACAGGGAAGAUUAGCACGGUCUCCAUUCCAGGAUGCAACUCCAAAUUCAUUAAACAUGACGUAUUUAA
Small nuclear RNA from Protobothrops mucrosquamatus (brown spotted pit viper), 104 nucleotides. The record is from RefSeq and is a predicted model, not a curated record. NCBI's taxonomy places the organism in Eukaryota, Metazoa, Chordata, Lepidosauria, Squamata, Viperidae.